Long non-coding RNA from Ailuropoda melanoleuca (giant panda), 284 nucleotides. RefSeq lists it as uncharacterized. Lineage: Eukaryota; Metazoa; Chordata; Mammalia; Carnivora; Ursidae. The transcript has 3 exons. The record is from RefSeq and is a predicted model, not a curated record.
UUGAUUUGAAGUCUUCUUUUCCCAUAUAGGUAUUUGCAACUAUACAUUUCCUUCUGAGCACUGCCUUAGCUGCAUCUCCUAACUGUUGUUAGAAAGAAAGGACUGGAGUUACAGAUGGGUGUUCCUUUGAAGGACUGGAGUUCCACAUGGAGUGAUCCCAGGUGUACAUCGGCUAUCAUGGAAUUGAAGUGUAAACCAGGCCCUAUUUAUCAGAGCACUCACUGGGUGCCACACAUUGAACUGAACAAGAUGUAUCCACCUAAAACUCCCAGUUGACCUGAAAG